ACCCGCUGAACUUAAGCAUAUCAAUAAGCGGAGGAAAAGAAAAUAACCAUGAUUGCCCUAGUAACGGCGAGUGAAGAGGCAAAAGCUCAAGUUUGGAAGCUCAGUGGUUUAACCACUGCGCAUUGUAAACUGAAAACAGGAUCAAUCAGAUACACCGGGUAACAAGUUCCUUGGAAUAGGACAUCAUGGAGGGUGAGAAUCCUGUCUUUGACCCGAGACUAGUAUCUUUUGUAUUGGCCUGUUCAAGAGUCAGGUUGUUUGGGAAUGCAGCCUAAAGCUGGGGGUAAAUCCCUCCUGAAGCUAAAUAAUGGCGAGAGACCGAUAGCGAACAAGUACCGUGAGGGAAAGAUGAAAAGAACUCUGAAGAGAGAGUUAAACAGUACGUGAAAUUGCUUAAAGGGAAGCAUAUAAAGCUAGGAUGCGAUUGUUUUCUUCAGGUUGAGCUUUGGCUUGACUGUUUAGAAGGAUAAUCCGAGACAACAAGAAUUGGAAGAGAAGAAUAAGCCGUGAGGGAAGGUAAUCCUUCGGGAUGUUUAUAGACCUUGCGGUUCGCGCUUUUCUUUCGAUUGAGGAAUGCUGUAACAGGUUGUUGUCUGAAUGGCUUUAUAUGGCCCGUCUUGAAACACGG
Molecule: ribosomal RNA, 628 nt
Filed under: uncultured fungus
Lineage: Eukaryota; Fungi
Description: LSU rRNA
Rfam family: Eukaryotic large subunit ribosomal RNA
Source: RNAcentral